GAUUAACGCUAGCGGCAGGCCUAAUACAUGCAAGCCGAACGGCAGCACGGGUAGCAAUACCUGGUGGCGAGUGGCGCACGGGUGCGUAACGCGUAUGCAACCUACCUAUAACCGGGGAAUAGCCUUCUGAAAGGAAGAUUAAUACCGCAUAAUAUCACUGGACUGCAUCGCCCGGUGAUCAAAACUCCGGUGGUUAUAGAUGGGCAGGCGUGACAUUAGCUAGUUGGUGAGGUAACGGCUCACCAAGGCUACGAUGUCUAGGGGGUCUGAGAGGAUGAUCCCCCACACUGGUACUGAGACACGGACCAGACUCCUACGGGAGGCAGCAGUAAGGAAUAUUGGACAAUGGGCGCAAGCCUGAUCCAGCCAUGCCGCGUGAAGGAUGACGGCCCUCUGGGUUGUAAACUUCUUUUAUACGGGAAUAAACCCCUCGAUUCUUCGGGGGCUGAAUGUACUGUAAGAAUAAGGAUCGGCUAACUUCGUGCCAGCCGCCGCAGUAA
This 500-nucleotide ribosomal RNA is filed under the name uncultured bacterium. Its description in RNAcentral is "partial 16S ribosomal RNA". It matches the Rfam family "Bacterial small subunit ribosomal RNA", at positions 28 to 523 of the family's 1533-position model. The record is from RNAcentral.